This is a long non-coding RNA of Cynoglossus semilaevis (tongue sole), 623 nucleotides long. RefSeq lists it as uncharacterized. The record is from RefSeq and is a predicted model, not a curated record. NCBI's taxonomy places the organism in Eukaryota, Metazoa, Chordata, Actinopteri, Pleuronectiformes, Cynoglossidae. The transcript has 3 exons.
UGGAACCUGUGCGGAGGGGCGGCCGGUUCCUCUCUCUCUGAGCGCCUGCUGAGCGGCGGAGCUGGAGGAGGCAGCAGGAUGGAGAGUUUGAUGUGCGCCAAGAGGACGAGCUUCUCCAGCAGGAAGGCACAGACGAAGACAGACUCCGAGAGACACAAAAGACAACAAGAUUCUGACAGACGGAGAACCGACCUGAGGCCACCGGGUGGAGGUGGUUUCUGUGGAAGGAUCUGAACAUUCCGUAGGAGCAUCCAAACAUCACAGAGCCAUUGCGUUGAGGUUAAGGAACCCGAAAUGGGAAUGUGGAUCCUGUCCUGGAAACUUUGUUUACCCUACGAGGGAAACCUGGACUAGAGGUCAGAAGUGGUUUCCCCUGGAGCUGGUGAAGAGGCCAGACCCAGACCCAGAUGGAGAUCAUGUGACUCUCCAGGGAUGGAAGCCAUUAAAGCAGCAGUUAAUGAUGUUGUAGAAACAAAACCACCUUCACCUCAAACCUCGUGGGGAAGGUUUUGGAAUGUUUUUUAAUCACAUGACAUGGUUCUUAGUGAUUAUUUUUCUACACUCAGACCCCAAGUUUUAAACUUUUCUAAUUGUAAAAAACAGUGCAGAUUUAUAAAAUUAGA